RNAcentral lists this transfer RNA (71 nucleotides) under Ovis aries (sheep). It matches the Rfam family "tRNA". From Rfam's summary of the family: Transfer RNA (tRNA) molecules are approximately 80 nucleotides in length. The record is from Rfam by way of RNAcentral. Lineage: Eukaryota; Metazoa; Chordata; Mammalia; Artiodactyla; Bovidae.
UCCCAGGUGGCUCAGUGAUAAAGAAUCUGUCUGCAAUGCAGGAGACCUGGGUUUGAUCCCUGGAUUGGGAA